This 383-nucleotide ribosomal RNA is filed under the name uncultured eukaryote. RNAcentral describes it as "partial 18S ribosomal RNA". It matches the Rfam family "Eukaryotic small subunit ribosomal RNA", at positions 592 to 976 of the family's 1831-position model. The record is from RNAcentral.
CAAUAGCGUAUAUUAAAGUUGUUGCGGUUAAAAAGCUCGUAGUUGGAUCUCGGCAGGCAGGGGGUGGUUCGCUCUUAGCGCUACUGCCCCAUUUGCCUGUGUGAUUGGCGGAGGUUUCGGGGUGCUCUUCGUUGAGUGACCCGGGGCGCCGUCAGGUUUACUUUGAAAAAAUUAGAGUGCUCAAAGCAGGCUUUUCACGCUUGAAUAUUCGUGCAUGGAAUAAUGGAAUAGGAACUCGUUUCUAUUUUGUUGGUUUUCGGAAAUCGAGUUAAUGAUUAAUAGGGACAAUUGGGGGCAUUAGUAUUCAGACGACAGAGGUGAAAUUCUUGGAUCGUCUGAAGACUAACUACUGCGAAAGCAUUUGCCAAGAGUGUUUUCAUUAA